RNAcentral lists this long non-coding RNA (1951 nucleotides) under Musa acuminata (dwarf banana). Its description in RNAcentral is "long non-coding RNA (MACU_LNC001636)". Lineage: Eukaryota; Viridiplantae; Streptophyta; Magnoliopsida; Zingiberales; Musaceae. The record is from RNAcentral.
AGACUACAAGUCUCUUUAAACUAGAAAAAGGAAGGAGCUCCACUAAGCAAAAAACUGGAUCAAUACAACCUCACAGCACGCCAUAGGGAUCUGUGUACAGAGAAGGACCAUGCUUGUGGCUUUUGUUUCCUCCCCCACCUCCCUCUGCUUUUCUUAUUGAUCCUUAAACCCUGCUAAAACCUUGGUUAAGAGACACAGAGAUAAGGUAGCAUCAUACUCGCAGAGUUGGCCAGGGUAGAAACCUUGAAAGCAAUAGAAUUAAUGGCGGUGCUGUCACUGGAGAAGAGGCCCUUUCCAUCUCCUUGCCUUGUGGUAGGAAUCAAGGAGGAGGAUAUUUGCUAUGGUAGCCAAAACAAGGUUGCUACUUGCACAGUCUCGUGUCUACGAGAAAGAUUGAAAGGGAGGACAACUGUCCAACCAGUCACUCCGGAACAGCAGUACUAUCUCUGCAUCAGUCUGCAGUGCAAUCCAAGGCUACUGAUCAAAUCUCCUGUCAUGCUCCUUCUCCCUUCCUCCUUCAAUGUCACAAAAAGAUUAGAAGAGAGAGAGAGAGAAGAGAGAGAGAGUUUAUACUAAAGAUACAACUUUGACGUAUAGUGAAUUCAAAUGUAACUUCUCAUACGUAUCUUUAGGUAGUACCUGUAGUCAACAGCUGCUUCCAAGUAAAGUGAGAUGUGGGUCUUCAUGAUAAGCUUGAUGUAUUCCGGGAAUGAUGAGAGAAGUGCCUAAAAGCACGAAAGAAAAGCUUCUCUGGGAUAGGAGAGCAUCAAUGUACUUAGAUCUCUAUAGAAUACAGUAUCUUAAGAUAAGUUUGGUCCAGGAUUACAUCAAGCAAAUCAUACUGUCAUCUCCAUCAAUCCUUAUCAGAACUAAAUUACUUGCAUAGGAGUGGUAACAUGACAUUAUUCAACAAGUUCAUCCUAAUGAUGCCUCCUCCUUAGCUGGUUUCAGCACUAGGUAGACAUUUACACCUGGGACUUUUGGAUGCAAGUUGCCAGGUCCCAUCGAGCUUCUAAUACAAUUCUUAAAAGGAAGCAAUGAGCAUUGUUCUCAUCUCCUUUGUUUCCUGAUUGAUUUCUUGGGCCCUAGGCUAUAUGUUGGAUGGUGAUGUUAUUAUGCAGGCUAUGGAGAUUCCGUGGCUUCUAUCAAGGCUUUUUUGUUAUGCAUGCAGAUGUGCAUGGUGUUCAUGGAGACAGAUUUUCUAGUGAGAAUGAUUUGGGAUCAGAAAAAAAGUAGAUGGGAUGAAGAUAGAAUGGUAAGAGGAAUGAGGGGAAGGGAGUUUCAACGUACAGAAAUCAAUGGCCGUCAUCCUUCUCCCCAUCGCUUUUCUGAUUACUGCAAUGAUGAGUGCAUUCACCAAUAUGAUGCCUCCUAACUUGGAGCAAUGUCCCCAUCAUUCCAUGCCUCCUUCGAACCCCUUUAGCAGGGGAUAAAUGGUGGAGGUUAAUUGGUGUCGUCCUUCUUCGCUCGUGCUUCCUUCGGUCCAAGUUCCUCUCCCUUUCCGAGGAUGCAAGUCAAACUACACAUACCACAUGAAAACAAGGCAAACUGUGAGUCCAUAACUAGUCUGAAAUAGAAGUAAUGUGUGCUAGAUGACAUACCUCAAUGUUGGAGGACAACAGACAUGAUCACAAAGCAGGAGGCUGUGAUCCGUAGCAGUGAUGUUGUUUCAGUAAUGUGCUUGUAUGAAAGACUCCUUUGUUUCUGAAACUUGCAGAAAAUAAGGCCUUUGCUUUCAGAAAUCAAAUCUGAAAAUACCAUAGUGUUGGAAAAAGGAAAAGACAACAGAGAGAGAGAGAGAGUCAGCAGCCAUGACUGCCACUGCUAACCUAUGAGGUUUUGGUCUUCUUAGUUCCAUAAAGAACAAAGAGGAGCAUAAUUCGAUCACUAGCCAUAAACCUUUCGUUCACAGUGUGGAAAAUUUUGCAUGUAUUAUAAGGCUAAUCUCUUG